UCUAGAGCCAUUUGCUACACUCUAAGCCCGGGUGAGACUAAACUUAAAGAGGAUGACAUGUUAUAUUCUAGAGCCAUUUACUACACCUUACGCCCGGGUGAGACUAAACUCAAAGGUCUCAGAAAAAUAGCGGCAUGAAGUCAAAAUCACAUCUGAGUGAAAGUGAAGACAUUUAUCACACAUUGUUAUUACAAUUGAACAAGCUGUAUGUUAUCUACUCUGCAUAUAACAAAACUAUAAAGAACUAUAAGUACCAAUAAAGUUAAUAUGCUAACAAACGCUUCUGUCUGUUAUGUAGAAUUUUAAUUAAACCAGUUGUUGCUUCUGCUCAUUCUGCUUGUGCAUGAAUGCUGUUCAAAGAAAAAGAAAAAGCUGCUGCUGCUCAUUUCUU
Long non-coding RNA from Astatotilapia calliptera (eastern happy), 391 nucleotides. The record is from Ensembl. NCBI's taxonomy places the organism in Eukaryota, Metazoa, Chordata, Actinopteri, Cichliformes, Cichlidae.